Non-coding RNA from Anolis sagrei ordinatus, 576 nucleotides. NCBI's taxonomy places the organism in Eukaryota, Metazoa, Chordata, Lepidosauria, Squamata, Anolidae. The record is from RefSeq and is a predicted model, not a curated record.
CAGCCCCUCGCCGCCUGAAUGGGAGUGGGCGCCGGGAAGGGAGCGGAGCCGGCACAGGCUGCUGCUGCGAUCCUGGACGGAAGGCAGGCGCCACCGAGAGACCCCCACCGGCAGCCAGAAUCGUCUGGCCAAAGUGAGAUCUCAGAAUUACUCACCAGGAAGGAGCCAUGGAGCAGAACUCAAAGGAACAGUCCAGCUCCCCUCAGAAGCAUGUAGUGAAAGCUCGAUCCAAAUCCACAGAGGAAAUGCAGCCUGCCAAGAAGGCAUUCCAAACACCCCAGAAGUCCUUACCAAACCAGAUGGAUGAAGAUGAAUCCAAGGGUUCCUGUCCUGUCCCAGCACCUGGCUCCACUCAGCAAGAGCAGCAGCAGACCUGAGGAACAGGAGAUGAUUGAGCGUCAACUAUCAAGAAGUGGAGUCAUGACCAUUCCUUGUGCUGUUUCUUGGCUUGGCCUUGUUGCUCUGUCUUUACACCCUUGUGGAUGUCCCUGUAGUUCUGUCUGUCCAGCUGUUGCUGUCUGACUGUCUAUCUUCUCUGUGGAAUGAAUCUAGGUCAAUAAAGUGUGUUGGAACAUC